RNAcentral lists this ribosomal RNA (255 nucleotides) under uncultured bacterium. RNAcentral's name for it is "partial 16S ribosomal RNA". It matches the Rfam family "Bacterial small subunit ribosomal RNA", at positions 524 to 776 of the family's 1533-position model. The record is from RNAcentral.
UACGGGGGGAGCAAGCGUUGUUCGGAGUUUACUGGCGUAAAGGGCGCGUAGGCGGUCAGCACAAGUCAGUUGUGAAAUCUCCGGGCUUAACUCGGAAAGGUCAACUGAUACUGUGCGACUAAGAGUGCAGAAGGGGCAACUGGAAUUCUCGGUGUAGCGGUGAAAUGCGUAGAUAUCGAGAGGAACACCUGCGGCGAAGGCGGGUUGCUGGGCUGACACUGACGCUGAUGCGCGAAAGCCAGGGGAGCGAACGGG